This 489-nucleotide ribosomal RNA is filed under the name Fusarium solani. Its description in RNAcentral is "eukaryotic LSU rRNA". The stretch from base 107 to 260 matches the Rfam family "5.8S ribosomal RNA". The record is from RNAcentral. Lineage: Eukaryota; Fungi; Ascomycota; Sordariomycetes; Hypocreales; Nectriaceae.
UGCUUCGGCGGGAACAGACGGCCCUGUAACAACGGGCCGCCCCCGCCAGAGGACCCCUAACUCUGUUUUUAUAAUGUUUUUCUGAGUAAACAAGCAAAUAAAUUAAAACUUUCAACAACGGAUCUCUUGGCUCUGGCAUCGAUGAAGAACGCAGCGAAAUGCGAUAAGUAAUGUGAAUUGCAGAAUUCAGUGAAUCAUCGAAUCUUUGAACGCACAUUGCGCCCGCCAGUAUUCUGGCGGGCAUGCCUGUUCGAGCGUCAUUACAACCCUCAGGCCCCCGGGCCUGGCGUUGGGGAUCGGCGGAAGCCCCCUGUGGGCACACGCCGUCCCUCAAAUACAGUGGCGGUCCCGCCGCAGCUUCCAUUGCGUAGUAGCUAACACCUCGCAACUGGAGAGCGGCGCGGCCAUGCCGUAAAACACCCAACUUCUGAAUGUUGACCUCGAAUCAGGUAGGAAUACCCGCUGAACUUAAGCAUAUCAAUAAGCCCG